GUUCCAUCUUCUCCCUCCAAAGGCAUAAAAUGCGCAGUAGUAUUUGAUAUCUCAUGACACAUAAACACAACAUAUGGGUAAUCCAUAGGAUGACAAACAAUGACCUUAUCUUCUGCUAACAACUUCACUCCAUCUUUCACCGAGAAUUUUUGGGACUUACUUUCCUUUUCUGCUUCUGUAGAAAUAACUCGAGCAUUCUUCCCAAGCUUAGAAGUGACAAAAUCUACCAUGGACUCUAAUGAAGUUGCACAAUAUCUUUCUUCUCCAGUUAUUGCAGGCACUUCACACAUACUAAUGGUUUCCUCUAGAAUCUUAACAUUCUCUGGCUCUG
Molecule: long non-coding RNA, 331 nt
Filed under: Glycine max (soybean)
Lineage: Eukaryota; Viridiplantae; Streptophyta; Magnoliopsida; Fabales; Fabaceae
Description: long non-coding RNA (GMAX_LNC000871)
Source: RNAcentral